RNAcentral lists this ribosomal RNA (1454 nucleotides) under Triticum aestivum (bread wheat). RNAcentral describes it as "partial small subunit ribosomal RNA". The record is from RNAcentral. Lineage: Eukaryota; Viridiplantae; Streptophyta; Magnoliopsida; Poales; Poaceae.
ACAUAAAACGUCUAAACGCAAACGUAACGAUACAGUAAACCCUCAAAGAGUAUCUUGUUCGGGCCAAUGUAUUCUACUCGUGUCCUAAGUCGCGUCUCUAGAAACACGUCUUCGAACGCUUCGAAUUAUAACGUGUUGUCUCAUAUCUCUGAAAUAGUGUGACCACGUAGAAGGUAGUAGCAACAACGGUCCUUCAACAACGGUAUACCUUAUUUCUAAAAGUGAGUCGAGGAGUUCUCUCUUUCUAUAGAAACGACAUGGAACGUUUACUAUAAUACGUCUUAUCAUUCUUCCUACCGUACUCUAUAUAUGUACUCAAGAACUUCCAGUAGCGACGACGGAAUCUACUGGACAAGUGGUUACCACUACUAAAACCUGCUUUACAACAUUUUUCUGACCAACUGUAUACCCUUCUAGCGUUCAACAAACCGUGGGUUCCUGUUGAGGAUUUCCUUCUUAUGUGGGCGUUUAAAUUCCUCGAUUUCAGUUUUUUUGGUCCACCUCUCGACCACCUCUUCCAAUAUAGCUCGAUGUUCGUAUACGACGCCCGUGGACAUCUACUCCGGUUCAACUACUCUCUUACGUUGUCACGAGAUUCGAAACAACUGUUGGACUUGUUUCUCAUGCCUUUAAGCAUGAAUCCCUCGUCGUUACCUAUAUCGAAACACCUCCUCGACUUCCUUGUUGUAUCAUAAGACUCUUUGUGGUAACUUGCUAAGUUUUACAGACUUAGUGAGUCCCGGUGAGACCAUAGACUAAACUUCCUUCGUGAGGUACUCGUCUCAUUAUCUUUACGAAAUGUUGCAUUUGUGUAGUUACGUCGAGUCCAGUCUAUAUCCUUUCGACUACUGGAGACGGUCUUCGAGCCUUAUCUACAUGGUUCCGUGCUCGGUAGAUUACCCCAAAGUCGAUUACGAUUAAGACAGCUCUUCCCUGCCAGCUGACGUCACUACAUAAGUGCCCUUCCUCUACCUCCACUCGGACUCUGGGAGUUGCCGCCAAAAAGAAGUGCUCGGUGGUCCCUGUUGAAACUCGUCUUUUAUCUUCCCGUGGGAGGACAAUGAUUCUCCGUCUUCUAUCUCUUACCAUAUAGACAAGGAGUCGGACUUCGUGGGGGUGGCGGUGGGGGUGAGGGCAUAGGACUAUGUAAACUUGUAGGUGGUGGUGGCGGAGUCAUAGGAGGUAGUGGUCUCAGAUCGGGUGGUGGUGAAGGUGGAAGUUACGGCGGGGGUUAGGGUGGUGGUGGUGGUGGAAGAUGUCUACGUAAAUACGGUCAAGGACGAGAAGGUUACCCUCCUUACGGUAUAAAGGGUGGCAAAGGAGGUGGACAUUUGAUAGGGUACUAGUUGUACGGUGGCGGAAAGGGACCACGGGGUUUGGGAGGAGUGGGUCCAAAGGAACCUAAACCCCCAGGGAAGAUACCGGGCGGAAAGGGGAGCCGGGGGGUGGUUACU